Molecule: ribosomal RNA, 254 nt
Filed under: uncultured bacterium
Lineage: Bacteria
Description: partial 16S ribosomal RNA
Rfam family: Bacterial small subunit ribosomal RNA
Source: RNAcentral
CACGUAGGGGGCAAGCGUUGUCCGGAUUUAUUGGGCGUAAAGAGCUCGUAGGCGGUUCGGUAAGUCGGGUGUGAAACCUCCAGGCUCAACCUGGAGACGCCACCCGAUACUGCUGUGACUAGAGUCCGGUAGGGGAGCGUGGAAUUCCUGGUGUAGCGGUGAAAUGCGCAGAUAUCAGGAGGAACACCGGUGGCGAAGGCGGGUCUCUGGGCCGAUACUGACGCUGAGGAGCGAAAGCAUGGGUAGCGAACAGG